UUUAGUUAUUUAAAUCUUUAAACGUGUAACCCUAUAAAGGGAAAAGUCUUUUAUUUUUAUUGGCAAUCAAUAUUAUUACAAGUUCCUAAAACAGAUCUGGGUUGAAACAACCCUAGUCUCGGUCACUGUUCCAUUAAUUCCAGUCGCUAAUCCACUCUUCCUUCUUAAUUUUUCCAAGUUCACUCCAUCAUUGGUGCUUUCAAGCCCUCUGCCGACUGGUUUUAGUUCACAGUCCGGGGAUCAUCUGAAGAUCUUCAGAAGAAGGAGACCACCUCCUGGAAAAAAAAAAACAAAGAAAAAAAAGCAAUCCAAAAGUAUGUUCUCUGCUUAAGAGAUCCCAAUUAGGAAUAUAUAAAUCUUAUUACAUUCAGUAGUAAUUCUAUUAUUGAAUACAAUAGCUAAAUAUUUUCAGAUCACUAAAUACCAUUGGAGAAGAACUGAAGAAGGUUUUGUAAGCAAAUAAAUCCUACAAACAAACUCUUCAAAAGCUUGUUUUCUCCUUAAGAGAUCCAGAUCAGGGACGUGAUUAAUUACCCUUAUUUUUACUUGUUCUUCUAUUCAAUGAUAAAAUUUUCAUUUCAGAGUGACAACUUGGAGGAAUGGCUGAAUCUAUGGAUGUCCAACUCAAGAGACUACAAAUAAAACAGGACAUUGAGGCUGAAAGACUAAGAAACACGGAACAAACAUUAUCAAAGAUGAGUGAAACACUAUUGCUCAUAAGUCAUAAGCAAUCCAGAAAGCCAAGAACAACAAAAACAAGAGAUGAAAUACAAGUCAAUUAGGACAAAGAUGCCUAAGUUCGAUGGGGAGAACGUUCAAGGCUGGAUUUACAAAGCAAACAAAUAUCUGAGGUAUCAUAAUAUACCUGAUGAGGAGAGGAUUACAGUGGCUACAUUUAAUAUGGAAGGGGAAGUUUUAGAAUGGCUUCUAUAGGCUGAUAAUAAUAACACACUUAAGUCUUGGUCAGAUUUUCUUGAUGACCUGGUGAAAAGAUUUGGGACUUCAGCAUAUGAAAUACCUGCGGGCAGACUGAGUAAGCUGAUACAAACUGGUUCUGUGAAGGAGUACCAACAUCAAUUCGAAGCAUUAUCUGGCAAGGUGACUGAUGUCAACCCCAGGGUUAUGAAGGAAAUGUUUAUGUCUGGGUUGAAGAAUGAAAUUCAGAAAGAUGUUAUUAAGGCUAGGCCUGAAAAUUUAGUGGAGGCAUUUGCUCUGGCCCAACUGUAUGAAAGAAAUGACAUGACCACUAAUAUUGUGAGAUAUUGCCCACCUUCAAGGUCUGUAGUUGGAGAGAUUAAUUCUAAACCAUCUAGUUCAUUACAGCCUUACAUACCACCACACAGGAAAACACUAGCACUACCACCAACUGAAUCCCAAAAAGGACCUAUGCUGAGACAGAAACUCACCCCUGCUGAGAUGAGAAUAAAAAGAUCAAAAACUGAGUGCUUUAAUUGCACUGAAAAAUGGGAAAAAGGUCACAAAUGCAAAGAAAGAUUAUUCCUUCUAUCAGUUGAUGGAGUGUAUUUUGCUGAGUAUACAGAGCCUAAUAAAGAUGAAAAACAGUUUGUUCAUGCUGUGGAGGAAAUCAGGGCUGAGCACACUCACAUAAGUUACCACUCCUUAUAAGGCCAACUGAGCCCAAGAACUCUGAAAUUAUCAGCUAGUAUUAAUAAUUUAAGAGUGCAUGUUCUGCUAGAUUAUGGUUCUACUCACAAUUUCCUUCAGGAAGGCUAAGCACUUGAAACUGCCAAUCACUCCUAUUCCUUCAUUCUUAGUUUCAACAGGAAGUGGGGUUUCCUUAAGGUGUGAUAAAAUGUGUAAACAGGUUAAAAUGACUGUCCAAGGUGUGUAACAAUGACAAUUGAUAUAUUUGUUCUGAAUAUGGAAGGAGCCAACCUUGUAUUAGAGAUUCAAUGGUUUAAAAUUGUAGGAUCAGUUCUGUCUAAUUAUAUCGAUAUGAACAUUGAGUUUAAUUGGAAAGGAGAAAGGAUUAAAUGGGUGGGGGAACCAAUACUAUCAGAUUACCUACUAUCAAAAGAAUGAGAUGAAUUCCUUAGCAGCUACUACUAUGUGAGCAUUUUUUGCAGAUUUGAGUAUAUUGGGGAGGCCAACUCUAAUGAAAAGAAUGAGAAGUUAGACACUGAAAACAAAGAGGAGGUACUUACCUCUAUAAAAACUGAAUUUUCUGAUGUGUUUGAUGAAUCUAGUGGGCUACCACUUCCUAGAUCCCAGUCACUGGAAAAUCUGGUAGACCCUGUCAGUGUAAGGGCAUACAGACAGGCCCAAUUUCAAAAAGAUGAAAUUGAGAGAAUUGUGCAAGAAAUGUUGAAACAACAAAUAGUUAGAGAAAGCAGCAGUCUCUAUUCUUCUCCAGUAUUGUUAGUUAAGAAGAAAGAUGGAAGCUGGAGAUUGUGUGUUGAUUACAGGGCAUUAAAUAAAAUCACAAUUAAGGAUAAAUUUUCUAUACCAACAGUGGAUGAAAUUCUUACAUAACUAAAGGGGGCUAAAAUAUUUUCAAAAUUGGAUUUAAGGUCUGGCUAUCAUCAGAUCUUAAUAAAUCCUAAUGAUGUGGAAAAGACAGCCUUUAGAACUUAUCAGAGACAUUAUGAAUUCCUAGUGAUGCCCUUUGGCCUCACCAAUGCACCAGGCACUUCAGGCCACUAUGAACAGGAUAUUUUUGCCAUUUCUAAGAAAAUUUGUUCUUAUUUUUUUUGAUGAUAUCUUAAUUUUCAGUUCUUCCAAGGAGGAUCACAUAGACAAUCUCAAAACUGUACUGAGAACACUCAAGGAUCAUCAUCUCUAUGCUAAGAAAUCGAAAUGCUUUUUUUUUCCAAACUGAGUUACAAUUUCAUGGGCAUAUUAUAUCAAGAGAAGGGAUCAACCCUGACCCAGAAAAGGUAUCAGCUAUUGUGAAUUGGCCAACACCAAAGAAUGUUAAAGCACUAAGGGGAUUCUUAAGACUAUCAGGUUAUUAUAGAAAGUUUGUUAAAAACUAUUCUUAUCUAGCAGCAUCAAUGACUGACUUAUUAAAAAAAGACCAGUUCACAUGGAAUGAGCUAGCAGAGAAGAGUUUUAUGGCAGUUAAAAAAGCUAUCACUUCAGCCCCAGUUCUACACCACCCUGAUUUCUCUAAACCCUUUUCUAUUGAAACUGAUGCUUGUCUUAAUGAAGUUGGGGCAGUUCUGAGUGAUCAGGAGGGCCACCCCAUUGCUUUUUUUAGUUCAAAAAUAACUGGGAGAAUGCUCUUAGCUUCAACAUAUGCAAAGGAGAUGCUAGUUAUAACACAAAUUGUUUCUAAAUGGAGGCACUAUCUAUUAGGCCAUCAUUUUGUGAUCCAUACAGACUAUCAAAGCAUUAAAAAUAUGAUAAGUCAGAUUAUCCAAACUCUAGAUCAACAAAAAUUCUUAUGCCAACUAUUGGGAUUUGAUUAUUCAAUUAAAUACAAGCCCGGGAAAGAGAACAAGACAGUUGAUGCUCUUUCAAGGCAAUUUGAGAGUGUGGAGCAAGAAAAAGAAGCUCAAGGGGGAUCAAUUCUGAGCUUGUAUAUUGUGAUAAGUUAAUUGGCAAAGUAAAGGAAGAACAAAACUCAAAGGCAGAUUUAUUAGCAAUGAAGGAAGCAAUUCUUAAGGGGACUGAAAAGAACAAUUUUAUGGCUAUAAUCAGAUAAGGGUUACUACUCAUGGAAGACAAAUAUGUAGUAUCACACACUUUAAACCUCAUUAGUGAUAUUCUGAGAGAAUACCAUGACAGCAUAAUUGGGGGCGCCCACUCGGGGGUGGAAAGGACUAUUAAGAGAAUUAAACUAGUUUUUUGGUGGAAAGAGAUGUCCAAAGAAAUCAGAAAAUAUGUUGAUGAGUGUGUGGUAUGCCAAAGGAUGAAAACACCUAAAAAAAGCCUCAAGGUCUUUUAAGACCUCUCCCUACACCUGAGGCAGUAUGGCAUGAUCUUUCAACUGAUUUUAUAACCAACCUUCCAUUGGUAAAAGGGAAAUCAGUAAUUAUAGUAGUAGUAGUAGACAGAUUAUCCAAGUUCUGCCAUUUAAGGGCUCUAUCAGCAGAAUUCAGUUCUAUGAUGGUGGCAGCCUAUUUUGUGCAAGAGAUCAUCAUACUUCAUGGAAUUCCAGCAUCUAUUAUGUCUGACAGAGAUAAAGUCUUUACUAGCAUCUUUUGGAAGGAAAUUAAUAGGCUAAGUGGAACCACUCUAAAGAUGCCUUCAGCCUAUCACCUAGAGAUAGAUGGCCAAACUGAAGUGGUGAAUAGGGGUAUUGAAAUGUUCCUGAUAUAUUUAGUUCAUGAUCAACUAAAGAAAUGGUUACAACUACUUCCUUGGGCAGAGUUGUGGCAUAAUUCCACUUUUAAUGUGUCUAUAGGAAUGACACCCUUCAUGGCUCUAUAUGGAAGGGAAGCUAAUUCUUUUGUUGAAUAGGCUAGAGGGAGUUCAUCUAACCUAGAGGCGGAAGAGGAGUUACUAAGAAGGCAAGAAAUAAUUGAAGUUGUUAAAAUUAAUCUAGACAGAGCAAAGGAAAGAAUGAAGAGUCAAGCAGACCUCCAUAGAAGUGAUAUCGAAUUUACAGUGGGAGAUUGGGUGUUCAUCAAAUUGAAGCCCUAUAGGCCAAUAUCUAUAGCAUAGAGACCCCAUCACAAACUCUCUACAAGAUUCUACGGGCCAUACAAGAUUUCAAAAAAAAAAGUGAAGUGGCUUAUAAGGUUAAUUUACCACUUAACUGGUCAAUUCAUGGUGUUUUUCAUAUUAGCUUGCUAAAGAAAUACAAAGGAAAAUUACCUCCAGAGGAAAUUGAAGUCUUGUCCAAAAUUUCGGUGGGAAGCGAGCUAGUGAUUUAUCCGGAGGAAGUUCUGGAUAGAAGGUCCCUGUUGGGAAAGGGGAGGAUGAAAGAACAAGUACUGAUCAGCUGGGCAAGCCGUGACCAGAAGGAGACAUCCUGGGAAGAGGUGGAGCACCUGCAGAGGGAAUUUCCAUCCCUCAACCUUGAGGACAAGGUCGAUCCCAUGGAGAAUGGAGAUGAUAGAGUCCUGUUGGAGGAGGAUCCGAUUCUAAGAAAUUUUCAGCAGCAGAGCGCGGAUGUGAAUGCUGAGGAGGAGAGCGACGAUGACCGGAUUUCAACUGUUGGCCGGCCAGUGAGGAGCAAGAUCCUGUGUACGCGACUAAAG
Molecule: long non-coding RNA, 5168 nt
Filed under: Zostera marina
Lineage: Eukaryota; Viridiplantae; Streptophyta; Magnoliopsida; Alismatales; Zosteraceae
Description: long non-coding RNA (ZMAR_LNC001014)
Source: RNAcentral